Molecule: non-coding RNA, 3018 nt
Organism: Cinara cedri
Lineage: Eukaryota; Metazoa; Arthropoda; Insecta; Hemiptera; Aphididae
Source: the annotation of a GenBank genome assembly
CCCGGGCCCGGGUAACAACGCUAUAGGUACUCAUUAGUCAGUGUCCCCGUCUCAUAGUAAAACGUCUGCGGUCCGGGAAAACUAAGGGUGACUCUGUCGUCUUAGUUCUCCCGGGCCAAAGUAACAACCAUACCUUAUGUAGUUUUAUAUUUAGUCACCUACAAUAUUCUCCAGUAGACAGCUACAUUUAGACUAUUAGAGUUGUUAAAAUAGAUAUAGUGCUUUGUUCAAUUCAAUACAAUAAAUAAACCGAUAUCGAAAUUUACCUACCCAAAAAGUGAGUAAAAAAUUUCUCCGAUCUAUAGUAUUAUUUUAAUAAUUGAAAUAUCAACAUCUAUCUGGUGAUUUAAUUUUCAGACUAUAACUAUGCACAUAUUAUAUAGAUAUUAGAUUAUCACUCCGUCAAAAGAAGAAAAUUCCAAAAUUUCAGUUAUCAAUUUAUGGCAUAAUGUCAUUUCGCUUCCAAUAUUUAUGAACAAAUAAUAAAACAAUCUCCCUGUUGCUGAAAAUUUAUUACCAUAUGGUAAGUAUCACCACAGAAGAAUACACUGAUAACGAUUAUCUUUUUUGAAUCAUUACUUUUACAUUUUAGGAUUAUUUACAUUGGACAUUUUCGGUGCAAAUAUAAAUCGUCAACCAUUGUAUAAUAAUGCACAUUCAAAUUGUCUCAAACACCUUACACAUUGGCACAACAUAAAUUGGUAAUGUAAUAUUAUUAGUUUUUUUCUUAUUAAAAUAUUAUCGUUUUUUAAAAUAAUUCAUUUCAAUAAUUGUAAUCCGUAGGAAAAAUUAAUAUUUUUUUUUUUAUUGUGGAUAUUUGAUUUGGGUGUGGCUAUUGGUAAAUCUCAAACUAACUGGCCGCCCUCUAGUGUUGAAAAUUUGAAAUACAAUAGUCGCAUACACUAUGACGUCAUCUGGGGUGUGGCAACAAGGGUAUUUCCUCCAGUCUAACUUUAAACCUUGUCUUAAGUAAACAUUUUAGUUAAUUUUAUUUUGCUUUUAGGUCUGGGAAAUUAUUUCUAUUCAAUAAAAGUUUCAUAUACCUUUUAUUUGUAUAUCUAUGACCUCCCCAGGAUUUUUCUAUUUUCUAUUUCAAAUUAAUACAUCUUACCAGUACUUCCUCCGCCCACUAAGCCUACCCGCUGCCUAUAACCCCUAACCCUACAUCCAAUACCCUGUUACUCUCCCACACCUCAUCUCUCGUCCUACCCUCUGCCCUCAACCUUUCCCCGUUUGAGAUUUAACUUUAUGUAUAAUAUAAGUUUUUUGAAAUUGAUUUAAUAACUUUUAUAUCUAUGUAACGUAAACGAAAUUCAAUAUUUUUUGCAAUCAAAUGAAAUCGUUUUGUAUAGAUAAUUGAAUAUCGAAUUUUUAAUUGAAAGAUGAUAUUUAUCAGGCAUUCAGCAAAAAUAAAGUUUUAACAUAGACUAUGAAAUGAUUGACUUUAUUUUAUGAGAAAAAAUAUUUUAAAAUACGAACAAUCCAGAUUUCAGAUUUAAAUUUUACAAAAAAUUAGUUUAUGAGUUAAUAUUUCAUACUUAGUAUUUCUUUAUUGUUUAUAGGUAUGUCUAACGGCCAGACCACCGAUUAUGGUUGUGCCGAUAGUCAAUUGACAAUAAAAGAAAAUGUCCAUCUUGCAUUCAUCAUCUGCUCUAAUUCAUAUGGAAUACAAUAAAUUGCCAACACAAAUUGUCCAUUCACAAUGAGUAUAGAUUCAUAGGUGGAGAUAUGAUAACUUUGGGGGGUCGGGGGGGGGGAGCUAAAAUACUGGCUUAUUAUGUGUAAUAUCGAUUUGGGGUCUGUGAUCGUAAGCACCUCCAAAGCCUUCUAUCUCCGCUUAUGUAUAGAACCAAUCAACACAAAUUAAUAAUCAAUAGAUCAAUAAAUAGAUUACACUAUUAGAUUUAUUUCAGUUUAUAAACUUUAUUUCACAUAUUACAAUAUAAAAUGCUUCACAUAAUUUAAUACAAUGGCUCUGUAAUAUUAGUUUGCUUAUAUUUAAUUUGUAAUAGAAAUAUGAUAGUAAUAAUAUGAUUAAUAUACCUACACUUAGUACCUACACUUAAUGCGCACACAUUUAUAUCAUUGCUAGAAAUUUUACCUUUAUACUCCAAUUAUUCUAAUUACCUAUUAGUGUUAUAAAUACAUAUGUACACACGCACAUGCAUACACAUUAUACAUUAUCUAUAGUUCCGAUAUUUAAUUUAUAAAUGUGUAUAUGUUUGUGUGUGUACCUAUCUAUUUAUUAGUUCUCUCUUAAAAUUAUUAAGUAGCUAUAGCACAGCGUUUGUUUUUUUUUUUCCUAUUUUACCUAAUACUAUUAACUAAUAAAACUAAUUUUAGACAAUAAAUAAAUGCUAUAUUUCCUCUCCUUUCCGCUAUUAAAUAACUAUAACAGUCACACACAUACACACACAUUAGUUUUUAAAAAUUAAUAAACAUGUAUAUAUAGAUAGGUUUUUUUUUUAAUAAUAAUUUAAUAUAAUUAUGUAAAAGUUUAAAGGUGGUGUUAAACUUUUAUUAUAACUAUAUUAUUGUUAGUUAAUUUUAAUAUAAACUUUAACCAUAAUGUAUAGUAAUUAAUAAUAUAAUAAAUGGAUAAGUAGGUAUUUAACAUGUAUAUAUAAUAUUAGGUAAUAUUUUAGCAUUAUUUUAAAAUAAUUUAGUACAUAAGUAAUUAUAAGUAAUUUUUAACAUUUAAGAACUUCACUAUAAUCUUUUUAAUUAUUAAUUGUAAAAUAUAAGUCUAUGUAUAAAUAAAUGUGAUAGUAUAUGCUAAGUUUUGUCAAAUAUUUUAUUUAUAAGUUGUAAUAUAUCUGUAAAUAUUUAAUUGUUAAUUAGUAUUAAGCCCUUACCUUUUAAAAUUUAAUUCUUCUAAUAUAUAAAUACAUAACACAGACAACAAUAAGACAACAAUUAUUUUAUUAUUUUAUUUUUUGUUAUACAAUUGUUAUCACGCUAUAAAUACUAUUUUUAUAUUUUUUUUUUUGUGAUAACAAUAAAAAUAAUAAUUCUCAA